RNAcentral lists this ribosomal RNA (253 nucleotides) under uncultured bacterium. RNAcentral's name for it is "partial 16S ribosomal RNA". It matches the Rfam family "Bacterial small subunit ribosomal RNA", at positions 524 to 776 of the family's 1533-position model. The record is from RNAcentral.
UACGUAGGGUGCAAGCGUUGUCCGGAAUUAUUGGGCGUAAAGAGCUCGUAGGCGGUUUGUUGCGUCGGCUGUGAAAUCCCGAGGCUCAACCUCGGGUCUGCAGUCGAUACGAGCAAACUAGAGUGUUGCAGGGGAGACUGGAAUUCCUGGUGUAGCGGUGAAAUGCGCAGAUAUCAGGAGGAACACCGGUGGCGAAGGCAGCUCGCUGGGACGGUACUGACGCUGAGGCGCGAAAGCGUGGGGAGCAAACAGG